This 1134-nucleotide long non-coding RNA is filed under the name Oryctolagus cuniculus (rabbit). RNAcentral's name for it is "lncRNA (ENSOCUG00000033978.1)". Lineage: Eukaryota; Metazoa; Chordata; Mammalia; Lagomorpha; Leporidae. The record is from RNAcentral.
AUGACCAGGGAGCACUUCCCAUGGCUCUCCCACUGCAGGCUGACCUGGCUGCUCUCAGGCUGGCCGGACGGCGCGGCCGACGGCAUCUUGCUGUGGCUGGGCGGCAUGGUCUGCCGGGGGCUGUUGGGCAGCUCACUGGGGCUCACUGUGCCACUGCCCAGCCUGCUGCAGGGGUCGCUGGGGAUGGAGCUGGUGAUGGACAGGCUCUUGAAGCUGCCCAGGGAGCUCAUGGAGCUGCAGCGGCUCAGCACCAGUGGCGUCUCCUGCACACAGUUCUCUGACAAGCUGGACGCUGUGGCGUCCUCCACGCCCAGGCCCUGGCUGCGGCCCCGCCGGGGCACCUGGACGGCCAUGGGCAGGGAGGCGGCCCCUGGCCCCCACCAUGCCCCGUCCAACUCCGCCUCUUCAGGGCCAUCCUCCAGGCCCUUGAGGGAGGAGUCACUGUCCAGGUCUGCGGCCUCGCUGGGGCCUGGGCGUCUGGCCGAGAAUAGCGAGGACAGCGAGAGGGACCCCCUGCACCACCAGCCUCUGCAGUGCCCUGCUGGCCAAGGGUGGCCGGCCGGCCCCCAGCUUCUCAGGCACCUGGCUCAGGCCCUCUGCUGGCAGCCAGGACUGCUUCCGGGCCACGGAUGGGGGGGGCUCGGGGCCGCCAGGGGCCCCCGCGCCUGCCCUGCCCAUGGCCUCCAGCAGCGGCACGUCAAGGUCAAGGUCCAGCCGAGCGAGCCGCAGCUGCCCGCCCAGCAGCUCCUCGCAGCGCUCGGCCAGCGCGGCCAGCGGACAGGGCUGCAUGUGCUCCCGCGGGCAGUAGCCAUCGCUGGUGCUGCCGCUGUUGAGGUUGUCCUUGGACAGGCUGGCGUUGGACAGGCUGGCGUGGGCCGCCUUGAACCAGAGCAAGGGGUCCACCCGCCCCCCCCACCUCCUGCCGGCCACCCUUGGGGCAGCAGCAGAGCAAGCAGGACUGUGCCCGGCCCUCCCUCAGCGCCUCCUGCCCGGGGGUCCCCGGAGCUGAGGCUGAAGCUGUUGUCAGAGGAAGUGUGCAAGGCGGAGAUGUCCUCCACCAGAUGGUCGAUCCACGCCACCAUCAACGCCAGCUCGGCUUUGGCCUUGGCCACCAGGGCCGCCUCACCUGCCUGA